UUUGCUUCUCAUUUUUGCAGGUUGAAAUUUUCACACUGCCCUGCGUUGGGAACUCAUGGUCUCCAUCCUUGCUUGCGUGCCAUGCUGUUUCUCUUCUGAGAUGUCUGCUUUCCAUCCCUGCCUGGAAGCCAGCCCAUUAUGAACUGAAACCUCUAGAAACUCCUUCCACUGUGCUCUGUUUGCCAGACACCAUGAAGUGAGCAGCUUUGAUCUGCCACACCCUUCCUGACUGCAAACCAGCUGUCCAUUGACUGAAUCCUCUGAAACCGUGAGCCAAAAUAACUUUUC
Molecule: long non-coding RNA, 288 nt
Organism: Fukomys damarensis (Damara mole-rat)
Lineage: Eukaryota; Metazoa; Chordata; Mammalia; Rodentia; Bathyergidae
Exons: 3
Source: RefSeq, a predicted model, not a curated record